This 301-nucleotide ribosomal RNA is filed under the name uncultured bacterium. Its description in RNAcentral is "partial 16S ribosomal RNA". It matches the Rfam family "Bacterial small subunit ribosomal RNA", at positions 509 to 809 of the family's 1533-position model. The record is from RNAcentral.
CAGCCGCCGCGGUAAUACAGAGGGUGCGAGCGUUAAUCGGAUUUACUGGGCGUAAAGCGUGCGUAGGCGGCUUCUUAAGUCGGAUGUGAAAUCCCUGAGCUUAACUUAGGAAUUGCAUUCGAUACUGGGAAGCUAGAGUAUGGGAGAGGAUGGUAGAAUUCCAGGUGUAGCGGUGAAAUGCGUAGAGAUCUGGAGGAAUACCGAUGGCGAAGGCAGCCAUCUGGCCUAAUACUGACGCUGAGGUACGAAAGCAUGGGGAGCAAACAGGAUUAGAGAUCCCCGUAGUCCCUGUCUCUUAUAA